RNAcentral lists this unclassified non-coding RNA (513 nucleotides) under Hevea brasiliensis (rubber tree). Lineage: Eukaryota; Viridiplantae; Streptophyta; Magnoliopsida; Malpighiales; Euphorbiaceae. The record is from RNAcentral.
AUAAUCUUUUGUCGGUUUCUUAAACAUCCUGACCACUUAAGUAGGUCUAGGUGGUAAUAAGUUGAUUUUUCUUGGCUUCAGUUUAUCUAAUUCCUUUGCUAUGGACAUACUCUGAUAAAUUACCAUGAUGGUUGUGAAUGAAUAAAAUAUGGCUAAAUCCAUACUUACACCCAGUACUAUUUGGGAUUAACCCAUUAAACACCUGAACUAAAAUGGUAACUAUCGAACAGCUGAACUUGUAAAAAUUAUUAACAAUUAAACACAAAUUAGCCAUGUCAUCGAUGACUUAGCCAAAAAACAGUCACUAAUGGUCCCAUUUAUUAUUGACUGUACUCUAAAUUUUGCCGAAUGUGCUCUAAAUUUUCAUGAUAACAGUCAUUUUAUUGAGAUAACUUUACCAUGUUAUGAAAACUUAGAGCACAAUCAGUAAAAUUUAGAGUACAAUUAACUAUAAGUGGGAUCAUAUCUUACCCUCAAUAAAAAUGACUAUUGUCGUGAAAAUUUAAAUCACAG